This 253-nucleotide ribosomal RNA is filed under the name uncultured bacterium. RNAcentral describes it as "partial 16S ribosomal RNA". It matches the Rfam family "Bacterial small subunit ribosomal RNA", at positions 524 to 776 of the family's 1533-position model. The record is from RNAcentral.
UACAGAGGUCCCAAGCGUUGUUCGGAUUCACUGGGCGUAAAGGGUGCGUAGGUGGUGGGGUAAGUUUAAGGUGAAAGCUCCGGGCUCAACCCGGAAAUGGCCUUGAAGACUAUCCUGCUCGAGGGUUGGAGGGGGGACUGGAAUUCUCGGUGUAGCAGUGAAAUGCGUAGAUAUCGAGAGGAACACCAGUGGCGAAGGCGAGUCCCUGGACAACACCUGACACUGAGGCACGAAAGCUAGGGGAGCAAACAGG